AAUGAACGCUUGUAACAUGCUUUACACAUGCAAGUUAAACUUUUUCAUAGUAGCGAACGGGUGAGUAAUGAGUAACAAUUUACUUUUUAGUUUAGGAUAAGCACAUUUUUGUUUGAAUAUAUAAAAGUAUUGUGCGAAUACUUUAAAAAAUUUUUAAAAAUUUGCUAAGAAAUAAUUUUAUUUAAGAUUAGGUAGUUGGUUUUGGGGAGUCAGCCCACCAAGCCUGCGAUCUUUAGUUGAUCUUGAAGGAUGAUCAACCACAUUGGAACUGAAACAAGGUCCAAGCCUUUUUGGCCAGCAGUGAGGAAUUUUGGGCACUGAACGAAAGUUUGACCCAGCAAUGUUACGUGAAUGAUGACAGCUGAUUUAGUUGUAAAAUUUGUUUAUUAGAAAUGAAAAUGACAUUAUCUUAAAAAAGUCCCGGCAAAUCUCGUGCCAGCAGCCGCGGUAAUACGGGAGGGGCUAGCGUUAUUCGAAGUAACUAGGCGUAAAGGGUUCGUAGACGGUAUCUUAAGUCAAAUAUUAAUAUUAAAAGUUUUUUUAAUACAAUAUUUAACACUAUUAUACUAGAGUUUAUUACAGAAAAGUAGAAUUUUAUGAGUAAAAAUAAAAUUUACAGAUACAUAAAGGAAUACCAAAAGCGAAGGCAGCUUUUUAGUAAUAAACUGACGUUGAGGAACGAAAGUUUAGGUAGCAAAUAGGAUUAGAUACCCUAGUAGUCUAUACUGUAAACACUGAGUGCUAGAAUUUAAAGUUCAUUUAGAUUUUUAAGCUAACGCGAUAAGCACUCCGCCUGAGGAGUACGUUCUCAAGAAUGGAACUCAAAGGAAUUGACGGGGGCCUACUACUAGUGGUGGAGCAUGUGGUUUAAUGCGAUAAUACGCGCGAAAUCUUACCAAUUUUUGACAUAUAUAACAUUUUAACUUAGAUAAUUCAGAUUAAUGU
This 945-nucleotide ribosomal RNA is filed under the name uncultured bacterium. RNAcentral describes it as "bacterial SSU rRNA". It matches the Rfam family "Bacterial small subunit ribosomal RNA", at positions 28 to 1030 of the family's 1533-position model. The record is from RNAcentral.